Molecule: ribosomal RNA, 142 nt
Filed under: uncultured Alphaproteobacteria bacterium
Lineage: Bacteria; Pseudomonadati; Pseudomonadota; Alphaproteobacteria
Description: partial 16S ribosomal RNA
Rfam family: Bacterial small subunit ribosomal RNA
Source: RNAcentral
AGCGUUGCUCGGAAUCACUGGGCGUAAAGCGCACGUAGGCGGAUUGUUAAGUCAGGGGUGAAAUCCUGGAGCUCAACUCCAGAACUGCCUUUGAUACUGGCAAUCUCGAGUCCGGGAGAGGUGAGUGGAACUGCGAGUGUAG